Molecule: ribosomal RNA, 493 nt
Filed under: Helotiales sp.
Lineage: Eukaryota; Fungi; Ascomycota; Leotiomycetes; Helotiales
Description: eukaryotic LSU rRNA
Rfam family: 5.8S ribosomal RNA (bases 149-302)
Source: RNAcentral
GCCGAAGCUGCACCCUUUGUAAAUGUACCUUUUGUUGCUUUGGCAGGAGCUGCCUAGCGUAUGCUAGGCGGCUGCGGCUCACCCCGUAGCCCUGCCAGAGGACCCAACUCUUGAUUUUAGUGAUGUCUGAGUACUAUUAAAUAGUUAAAACUUUCAACAACGGAUCUCUUGGUUCUGGCAUCGAUGAAGAACGCAGCGAAAUGCGAUAAGUAAUGUGAAUUGCAGAAUUCAGUGAAUCAUCGAAUCUUUGAACGCACAUUGCGCCCGCUGGUAUUCCGGCGGGCAUGCCUGUUCGAGCGUCAUAAUGACCAACUCACGCUCCGCGUGGUCUUGGGGUCCGCUUCCGGGCGGCCCUUAAACGCAGUGGCGGUGCCGUGCGGCUCUCAGCGUAGUAAUUCUUCUCGCUCCAGGGUCCGGACGGUGCUGGCCAGCAACCCCAACUACAUAAGGUUGACCUCGGAUCAGGUAGGGAUACCCGCUGAACUUAAGCAUA